Alligator sinensis (Chinese alligator) is the source of this 2569-nucleotide long non-coding RNA. RefSeq lists it as uncharacterized. The record is from RefSeq and is a predicted model, not a curated record. The transcript is spliced from 3 exons. NCBI's taxonomy places the organism in Eukaryota, Metazoa, Chordata, Crocodylia, Alligatoridae.
GAAUUGUUAGUCUCCAGAAUGCGACGUGUGGUAUGGAGUGUGAGAGAAGUAGGAGACAUCAGGAAUGAUGCUGUUGAAGGAGAAGGAUGGCAGGAAGACUGGGGACCAAGGCAGUCAAUCAAAACUUCUCCAUGUGCUGAUAGAUAGCCUGGUUCAUUAGCACAGUGAGCAAGCAAUGCUCCUCCAUCCAACUGGGAACCCUGUGUUUAAGCACCAGCUGGACAGCAGCUGCUCCUACAGGCUUCUUGGACUGUCUUCCCCAAUACUAAGUGUCAGAGCAGUCUGGACAGGAAUGAAGUUGAGAGUGUGGCAGGGAAUAUGGCAAGAAGUUAUACAAAUGGCAGACCAACUACACAGAAAAAGGGUAUAUUCAAAAAAGGAUGCUGGAUAUGGCGCUGCAACCCGGGCCAGCCACCCCUCGCCGGGGUCGCUGGGCUCUGACCCUGGGGCCCCGCAUGCGUGCCGGGACCCUUCAAGCUGCCCCUCCGCCUUCCCCGUCUCAUGGACGCUGUCUUCUCUAGCAGUUGUUGCGUGGGCGGAUGCCGCCGAAGCAGAUACAUUUGCACAGUGUUCAUACAUAGCACCCCACCCAAUCUUGUCCUGCAAUCCACUGAGAAUGCAUGAACUUGGGAAACUCCUAUCAUUCUCCCAACUGCAAGGGGCUGACAAUUUCCCAGGCCACUGCACUAUCCAAGACCAGAAGGGCUGCUAUUCCAUCUAUGGAUUUUUAUCAGCCAAAGGUGUUCACACUGUACAUUAGCUAUUUCUGUUCCAUUGUAGUUGAUUUUAAGUUUACAUUGUCUUGUCAUGCAUCAGAUCUAUAAAGAUUUCAUCAUUUAUAGCUAUUAAAAAUCACAAUGAUACAAUUUUUAAUAAUAACAUCUAUUCCUAAUGUCAUCAGUUUACAAACCUGAUACAUUAUUUUCAUUUAAUCCAUUAAAGUAGACCAGUUCUGUUGCACCUUCAAUUAAAUUAGUACAAGUUUGAAUAAAGGCAAGAUCACAUCCCAGUGACAAGGGAGGUCAGGAGCAGUUCUGCUUGCAGAGAUUUCACUCUCCCCUUACAAGGGAUGAUUCUUUUCUUUGCCUAUCAAGUAAAGGAACUCAGGUUUUUUUUUCCUACAAUGAGACAGGAGGAUUAGUUAGGUCCAUAUGGGAUGGCUGAUACUCCAAUGAAUAAAGGCAUUUGGGCAUAGGUGCCAACUUUUAUUUUUGCUGGGGGGGGGGGCUGCCUAUGAUGAUUGACGUGGAAAGUUUUACGCGUUUCAGGUGGCAGCCCUCUUCCUGAGGGGGGGCCAGGGCCCUCUGCCUCGCACAUACUCAGCGCCUCUGGAUUUGGGGAUACUUUACUUUAGAUCUUCACUUUAGCUCCCAGUCAUUGAGAAGAUAAAGAUCAUCUCUCUUAAAGAGUCUUUCCUUUAAUUUUGAAUGAACAAGGGGAUCUGAGACAAAUCUGUAUCAAGUCUCAAAAACAUUCUAUUCUGGAGAGACUGUUCCUGCCCCUUACAAACACCAGAGGGUCUUUCUCUCCUCCCCAUUUAGGCCUGCUUAUAUAGCUUGUCCUACCAGUAACAUCUCACUGAAGUGCACGAAGAAGUUCUCCCUUCCCUGUCUAAAAAAUGAGGAAUUCUGUGCAGGGAGGUGGCCCACAGGAAUAAAAUUUAGGGCACAUUCUUUGUUCCCAGGCAAUGCAGGGACUUGUAAUAAGACAGUAUGACGGAGUCUGUUUCUUUACCCCCUUCCAUUAAUAGACUUUGGGCAGGUCCAUAAAGGGCAGUUUCCACAUUCCCCCCCUGUUCUUUGGAAACUUUGAAAAACUGGCCAAGAAACUGUCUUCACCUUCCACUGCAGUUGUAUGGCCUUCACCUGUCUAACUUGUGAGAAGACUGAGGAUCUUGUCUGACUCCUUGCUCUCACUUUGAACCUAUAACCUUGCCCUUGUUACUUGUUCCCCAGAGUAAGUCAGGCCCUGACACUGAUCCUCAGCCUGCGGGGCUGGGCCUUCAGGGAUGGAUGGAGCUGGCUCUGUCCAUUAGGAGAGAGAGGUAGGUAGCCUGAAGUCAGGCAGAAGGCAAGGUAGAUUUGCAUCUCAUAAACUAACUCAGAGAUGUACAGUAUAAGCUAGGCAUGUAAAGGAGGUGGCCCAUGGAACAGACAUGGCAUACAGAAGCACAUCAUCCACCCCCAGUACUGCCCCUGGGUCUGGAGUUGAUUCACAAAGCUCACAUGGCAUGCACCAGAUCAGCCCUGCACCACACAGGGUGCCAGUUCUACCUGGCCUGGCACCUGCACUGCAUGUGGGCCUGCCUUAGCCAGUCCAGGCCAUGCAACAUACAUGGCACCUGCUCUGGCCAGUCUGGGACACGCACAGUGCCUACCCCAGCCAGCCUGGGACACACACGGCACACAGCACCCACUCCAGCCAUUCUGGGACCUGCGCUGUAUGCAGCACCCCCUGGCUACUCCAGGGUAGGCACCACAUGCAGCAUGAGCCCCAGACUGGCAGGAGUUCAAUAAGAACAGGUGCAAACUCCUGCACUUAGGACAGAACAAGUCAAUGCACCACUACA